Long non-coding RNA from Silurus meridionalis, 336 nucleotides. RefSeq lists it as uncharacterized. The transcript is spliced from 3 exons. The record is from RefSeq and is a predicted model, not a curated record. NCBI's taxonomy places the organism in Eukaryota, Metazoa, Chordata, Actinopteri, Siluriformes, Siluridae.
UUAUGUAUUUUUCAGCUUGAAUACAUGUCUCACUGGCAGUCCAUAUGUCUGCUCUGAAAUGGAUGCCAAAGCCAUUGCAGACUCAGCAAGUGCAUAUGGUGCAUCAGAGCCCAUUCCUAGCUCGGCUGACAAAUGGUUCUUUUACAGCAAGUAAACAACAAGAGACAACAGAUGACAGAUUACUACAUGGGAGGAUGUACUUAGCUAAUACACAUUGUAUAAUAUGUUCUGUAAAAUGAAGUGUGUUUGAGGUGAAUCAUCUAUUAAACUUUAUUCAAGGAGUGUUUAAUCGGUGUGUUGUGUCACUUGUAUGUUGUAGCUAUAGUUGUUAGGGAA